This is a long non-coding RNA of Prosopis cineraria, 2737 nucleotides long. RefSeq lists it as uncharacterized. The record is from RefSeq and is a predicted model, not a curated record. NCBI's taxonomy places the organism in Eukaryota, Viridiplantae, Streptophyta, Magnoliopsida, Fabales, Fabaceae. The transcript is spliced from 4 exons.
UCCUCCAAACCCUAGGCGUCCCUCUCACUCGCUCACUCUCCCCUCUCGCCUCUCCUACCUGCUCUGCGGGCGAUUUCCCUCCCCAAGUCCCAACCCAUGCUAUGGCCGUCACUCUCCUCUCUCUCGUCUCCCGUUUGCGAGUUGUGACUUGGACUCUUCAUGUGCGAUUGUGCGUGACCAAUACCAGUGCCAUGCAACGAGUAGAUGAUGGGGACGACGACAUCAACUCUGCGAGUACGUGACUACGUGUUGCUCGACUGUGCAUUCGUGUUUGACUCUUGCUCGACUCUGCGCGUGCUGUUCGCUCGUCUCUGUCUCUAUUUGCUUGACUCUUGCUCGUCUCUACAUGUUCAGUUCCUGUUUGACUCCUUUUCAGUCCGCGUCUGCCCAGGUUUUUUAAUUUGUUUUCCUUCGUUCUUUAUGUUACCUUAUGGUACUAUACAUUUUGUUCUAAUAAGACACGUUUUGUUUGUUAAAGCAACAUGGAAGAUGUUUGAAUGUAGUGAUGUCUCUGGGUUCAUGGCUUCAGAAGCAGAAGAGACUGCAAAGUUAUCUGUCUAUUGGCUUUAUGGGAAUUCUUUCGUCUUUAAAUUUGAGGAUCCUAAGGGCCAUGUAUUAGAUUAAACUGUGAUGAGUAAUCAUUUUGGUGAAAAGAAGCGUAGCUAGAAUUUGGGGAUAUUAUUUAGCUCUCUCUUGACAUGAAGAAGGCAUCAAGUUAGGAGAUACUCAAAAAAUGAAACUAUAUAGCUAUGUGACUGAGUCAAAAUGGGAAUGGUGCUGAAUGAGAAUGAGCAUUAUUGAUACUCUGGUAAAUGUAUUACAUCAAUAUAUAUAGAGAGAGAGAGAGAGGCUAUCUGUACAACUAGAUACUUAAACUAUACAAUAUAUAACAAACUUAGUAAUGAUGUAACUAAAUUGUACAACUAGACAAUAGUCCUUAUUUGAUUAAUUCAUAAUGCAGACUGUUGCAAUUUACUUGAUCCCAGAUAAUAUUAUUUUUUCUCUUGUAUAUUGAGAAAUGAUUGUUUAUUUAUUUAAUAAUGUAACUAAUUUUUAAUGGUGCCAUCUGUUAUAGAACAGAAACAACCUUAUAUUGUUGAAUUUGAUUUCACUUAUAGUGCAUCAAUUUGUCUUAUAGAACAUAAAUAUGUUGAAGGUGAACUCUAAUUUGGAUCGAGUGCGUCAUUAUAUUAAUUAUAAACUAUGUUAAGCUUAUGUUAAGUCAAGUGUACUUCUCUCUUCAUCUAUUAAUCUAUUUUUUUCUUAAUAUAAUUUAUUCUGCAAACUAUAUUUUUAGUAAUAAUAUUUUUUUAAAGAUAUCAAUUCUUGGAGAUAUCAUUCAAGUAAAUAGGGGUGCAAUGCAUUAGUACUAUUAGAUGACACAAGUUGGAAGGCCUGCUUGGAAAGGGAAGCUGAGAAGUAGAGAUUCAAAGGCAACUAGCUUGGCUGCUACAAGUAGUGGAGCCAUCCCAUCUCCUUGUUCUUUACUCAACACUCUCAUCUCCAACUUUAAAUCUCAUGGCCUCUCUGCCAAAGACAUGGUUGCCUUAUCUGGCAUACUCCUACUUCUCCAUUAAUUCCGUUUCUUUCAAAUCAAUUUUUAACUUGUCAUUUUUACUAUAGGUUAUUCACUUGUGUGUGUAUAAUUUUUUUAUGUGUACUGAGGUCUGAUCUCCAUGUUAUUGGUCCUCUUCCAGAUAUUCAAGGAAGGUGACAGAUUCUUGAAUCCCACACGUCCAACGUUUGAUUUUUUUCUCCUAGUGUGCUUGGGUUCGAUGGCUUAUUAUGGCAGUGCAAACCUUUAGAAUGCCCUUUUUUUUUUUAAGUUAUGACUGAGUGUAUCCCUUUGGUACUUGUUUUGAAGGUUGAUGAUGUUGAUACUAACUUGGUGAACAUUGCUGCUAUCAAAGCCACGACGGAUGGUUUUGAGUAUACGAAAGACAAUUUUGAUGGGAAGUGAGCGCAAGUCAGCCAUCAUAACUGAGAAAUUAAAUCAAGAAAGUAGACUGCUUUCCACAAGCACCGGCGAACUUGGCUCAAAGAUGCUCUCUCUGCCUCAGCUCACGCACGAAAGAAGGAAUGAAGAAAUGAAGGAACAGUUGAAGCUUGUGGGUGAAGGGGGAGUGGCAAACAAUGGAAAAGAACAGGAAGGAAACAUGAUGGCAGAGGCGUAAAGCUUGAAGUGAAUGAAGGCAUGGCAUCAAUGAAGGGAGGGAGAGAAGAAGAGGAAAUUAAAGAUCUAAGUGAUAGAUGACUCAUGACUCCCUACUUGCAAAUCAUUGGAGCUAUAAAGGCGAGGGUGGGGGUAAAGAGUUAGAGACAAAGCCAUAGCCAACAAUGAUGGAACAACGCUAAACUUGGAGACAAAGCCACUACCAUGGACAAUCGCAGCGAAGGUGCAACGAAUGAGAGGUUGAGAUAGAUUGGGGAGGGAGGAGGGGUUGUUGGCGAAGUUGAAAGGCCACAAAAGUGAGGAAGAAAUGACUUUGAAGUGGAACCCUAUAAGGUAUAGCCUUACAUCAAAUUUUAUUUUUUAAAAAAUAAAUUAAACUGGAUUGAACUAGAGUGAAUAGUCUAAACAUGCAAUCCGAGAUCUCAUUUGUCUCAACCAAUCAGUUUAGUUUGGUUGGUCUAGUUUUCUCCUUGAAUUGUUUUUCACCUAUAUUGCACUAGAUUGGGUCACUGCAAACUGGAUCAGGUUGACUGAAUUUUGAGUUUAAAUGUUCAACCUUACUUA